Molecule: long non-coding RNA, 868 nt
Organism: Episyrphus balteatus (marmalade hoverfly)
Lineage: Eukaryota; Metazoa; Arthropoda; Insecta; Diptera; Syrphidae
Exons: 5
Source: RefSeq, a predicted model, not a curated record
UGAAAAUAUUACAAUAUAAGGUACUUUAUAAAAACAAAGUAAUAUUGUAAUAUUUUCUUCGUGUAGAAUUGUUUUUUUUUAUCAACCCCCAUUUUGAAACUCACAAGAAGGCACGCGCUUUUCAUUUCAUCUUCUUCGUUUGGCGUCUGCAUUCACCAGCUACAAAUCUAAUUGUGUGAAAACCAAGAUAAUAUUCUACUUUGUCGGGCGUUUACCAGCAAUAACUGCUACAUAUACAUAAAUUUACAUCAGCAAGACCAGGCAUAAUUAAAAAUUCCAAGAAAAUUACAAAAAUCGGCUUAACAUUUGGAAAACUACAAAUUUAAACAAUCAUCGGCUAGACAUCUGAAAACCAGCUUCUACAAUCAUCAGCCAAACCAAACUAAUUUAUAUUUUAAGCAGAUAAAAACUGUUCCAAGAAAUAGUAAAAUUUUGACAAUCAUCGGCUACAUCUGAAAACCUACCAGCUAAUACAAUCAUCAGCCAGACCAAACUUUAUUAUAUUUUAAACAGAUAAAAAUAGUUCAACAGACAUCUGAAUACUACCAGCUACUACAAUCAUCGGCUACAUCUGAAAACCAACCAGCUACUACAAUCAUCAGCCAGACCAAACUAAAUUAUAUUUUAAACAUAUAAAAAUAGUGAGUAACACCUUUUUAAUAGAUAUACUAAAAUAAACUAUAUAUCACUAGAACUAGCCAUAAUUAAAUUUUAUAAAAAAAAGUAUUAUCCUUUUAUUUCGUGUUGGUAUCGUUUUAAAGCAAAAUUUAAAGUGAUAGAUCUGACUUUGUAUAGCUUGUUGUAAAACAUACAGAUAGAUAUAGGUAAUCAAACUAACAUUAAUUCUUCUUUUUAAAAGAUUCCAAAA